CCAAAUGACUCUCAGCAACGGAUAU
RNAcentral lists this ribosomal RNA (25 nucleotides) under Bryopteris filicina. RNAcentral describes it as "partial 5.8S ribosomal RNA". The record is from RNAcentral. Lineage: Eukaryota; Viridiplantae; Streptophyta; Jungermanniopsida; Porellales; Lejeuneaceae.